This 484-nucleotide ribosomal RNA is filed under the name uncultured bacterium. RNAcentral describes it as "partial 16S ribosomal RNA". It matches the Rfam family "Bacterial small subunit ribosomal RNA", at positions 30 to 507 of the family's 1533-position model. The record is from RNAcentral.
AUUGAACGCUGGCGGCAGGCCUAACACAUGCAAGUCGAGCGGAAGAACGGAGCUAGCUCCUGGAUUCAGCGGCGGACGGGUGAGUAAGGCCUAGGAAUCUGCCUGGUAGCGUGGGAUAACGUCCGGAAACGGGCGCUAAUACCGCAUACGUCCUGAGGGAGAAAGUGGGGGAUCUUCGGACCUCACGCUAUCAGAUGAGCCUAGGUCGGAUUAGCUAGUUGGUGGGGUAAAGGCCUACCAAGGCGACGAUCCGUAACUGGUCUGAGAGGAUGAUCAGUCACACUGGAACUGAGACACGGUCCAGACUCCUACGGGAGGCAGCAGUGGGGAAUAUUGGACAAUGGGCGAAAGCCUGAUCCAGCCAUGCCGCGUGUGUGAAGAAGGUCUUCGGGUUGUAAAGCACUUUAGGUUGGGAAGAAGGGCAGUAAGUUAAUACCUUGCUGUUUUGACGUUACCAACAGAAUAAGCACCGGCUAACUUCGUG